Xyrauchen texanus (razorback sucker) is the source of this 549-nucleotide long non-coding RNA. RefSeq lists it as uncharacterized. NCBI's taxonomy places the organism in Eukaryota, Metazoa, Chordata, Actinopteri, Cypriniformes, Catostomidae. The record is from RefSeq and is a predicted model, not a curated record. The transcript has 3 exons.
UGUCGAAAAAGUGGGCGGGCGCUGCAGUCUUUCACAGACUUCAGUAACGGUCAAUUUGCACUGAACCGGGAAAAAGACAGCAGAGUUGUUCUUCUUCGUAAUAUAUUAACAAAACAGGAGAUGCUUAUGGACCAAAUGCGAAUUAUCUUUAAGACCCUCCAGUGUAUGCAAUCAAGUCAGGAGACAGAGAUAGGCCUAGAUCGAAAUUUGUUGCCUCUCAAAGAUCUCACUUCUCUACAGAACAUGGAGGAUAAUCUGCGGAGUACUCCUGACCUCCAUAAGCAAUUGCGGCUGUGAGACGUAACCGUCUAACAUCUGAUGCCACAGAGAAAGACAUUGAUUCCACCAUUAAAAAAUGGCUGUAUCUGGCCCCAGACAGAGAUGGUGGACGAAAAGAAAGGAUGAAGAACAAAUUGCAUAAGGACAAUAUGACUGGUUAACAGGCUUUAGGCAUGGAUGUUCAGUCCAGAGUUCAACUUGUUCAGUGACAGAAUCAUGACUGUUUCAGAGUCAUUUGAAGAGUGCUACUUGUUCCUAGCCAUAAACGUG